AGCGAACGCUGGCGGCAGGCCUAACACAUGCAAGUCGAACGGAUCCUUCGGGAUUAGUGGCGGACGGGUGAGUAACACGUGGGAACGUGCCCUUUGGUUCGGAACAACUCAGGGAAACUUGAGCUAAUACCGGAUGUGCCCUUCGGAGGAAAGAUUUAUCGCCAUUGGAGCGGCCCGCGUCUGAUUAGCUAGUUGGUGAGGUAAAGGCUCACCAAGGCGACGAUCAGUAGCUGGUCUGAGAGGAUGAUCAGCCACAUUGGGACUGAGACACGGCCCAAACUCCUACGGGAGGCAGCAGUGGGGAAUCUUGCGCAAUGGGCGAAAGCCUGACGCAGCCAUGCCGCGUGAAUGAUGAAGGUCUUAGGAUUGUAAAAUUCUUUCACCGGGGACGAUAAUGACGGUACCCGGAGAAGAAGCCCCGGCUAACUUCGUUACAGCAGCCGCGGUAA
RNAcentral lists this ribosomal RNA (449 nucleotides) under uncultured bacterium. RNAcentral's name for it is "partial 16S ribosomal RNA". It matches the Rfam family "Bacterial small subunit ribosomal RNA", at positions 29 to 523 of the family's 1533-position model. The record is from RNAcentral.